GAGAAAAAUUGGACACCAUUUUUCCCCAUCAUUCAUCAUGAUAUAGCUAAAGAAAUACCCAUUCACCUUCAGCGGUUGCAGUGUUUUGUAUUUGUGUCUUUGCUAGGAUAUUUUGCAGCCCAUCCUGGCUCCACAUAUGAAAAGCUGGCCAGCAGGAUUGCUACCCUGAAGGAUUCUUAUUCAAAGCAGGGAAAGAAAUAGACAUUUGGUUGCUUC
This is a long non-coding RNA of Dioscorea cayenensis subsp. rotundata (Guinea yam), 216 nucleotides long. RefSeq lists it as uncharacterized. The transcript has 3 exons. The record is from RefSeq and is a predicted model, not a curated record. NCBI's taxonomy places the organism in Eukaryota, Viridiplantae, Streptophyta, Magnoliopsida, Dioscoreales, Dioscoreaceae.